RNAcentral lists this ribosomal RNA (459 nucleotides) under uncultured bacterium. Its description in RNAcentral is "partial 16S ribosomal RNA". It matches the Rfam family "Bacterial small subunit ribosomal RNA", at positions 338 to 795 of the family's 1533-position model. The record is from RNAcentral.
UCUACGGGUGGCAGCAGUGAGGAAUAUUGGUCAAUGGGCGGGAGCCUGAACCAGCCAAGUCGCGUGAAGGAAGAAGGUACUUAGUAUUGUAAACUUCUUUUGUCGGGGAACAAAGGCGGAGACGCGUCUCCGGAUGAGUGUACCCGAAGAAAAAGCAUCGGCUAACUCCGUGCCAGCAGCCGCGGUCAUACGGGGGAUGCGAGCGUUAUCCGGAUUUAUUGGGUUUAAAGGGUGCGCAGGCGGGAGAUCAAGUCAGCGGUAACAUGUCGGGGCUAAACCCCGGCCGGCCGUUGAAACUGGUUUUCUUGAGUGAGCGAGAGGUAUGCGGAAUGCGUGGUGUAGCGGUGAAAUGCAUAGAUAUCACGCAGAACUCCGAUUGCGAAGGCAGCAUACCGGCGCUCAACUGACGCUCAUGCACGAAAGUGUGGGUAUCGAACAGGAUUAGAUACCCUAGUAGUC